Non-coding RNA from Pelobates cultripes (western spadefoot toad), 125 nucleotides. Lineage: Eukaryota; Metazoa; Chordata; Amphibia; Anura; Pelobatidae. The record is from the annotation of a GenBank genome assembly.
AUAAGUAGGAAUUGGAAAAAUAAUAGGGAGGUAAUUCACUCACCUAUUCAAGAGCAUAAACUCUCUUAUGCUCUUGAAUAGGUGAGUGAAUUACCUCCCUAUUAUUUUUCCAAUUCCUACUUAUU